CCCGCUCGCUGGAUAUUUAUAUUUCAAAUGGUUCAAAUAUUUUCAUAAAAAAUACCACAAUAUUUCGUUGAGUUAAGGAAACUGGUUUAACCGGUUCCCCCAUAUCACAUACGCUUUAGCCCUUUUCUAUGGGAAUCUGCACCCAUACAUAUUGGGUGAAAUAAUUUUACAAUAUUGCAGCAUCAAAAGGAGUUGAUUCUUGUUGGUGAGUUGGAAACUUUAAAAGAUCUCAAGAAAUAGAGAGCACAUCGUACUCGACGUAGGAUGCAUGUCAGCGGAUUUUCUCUACUUCUGUCAGUAUAAUUUUUCAGGGCACGUGUUCAUGCUCAUGUUUUCCAUUUCCUUUCUCAAAUUAAUUGAAAGUUUAAAUACAUCGGAACCUUUUAACAACCCAUGUAAUUUGCUCAUUCGUUAACUUUGCUAGCAUCCCAUACACAUUCUCAGCAUUCGGCCCUAAAGUCCAGGAAAACUUUUUUCUUUUUUCCUUCUCAAGCCAAACUUCCUCUGUGGCAGCUGUGCGCCGGUCGGGUCGGGUCGGUACGGGCUGGGACGCAAUUCUCCAUUUUUCGAGCAACUUAAUUUACGCUGAAAUCCAUUUGACUUUAUCUGACAUUCCAAUCAAGUCGUCUAAAAAUUUGUAACAAAAAAAUCAACAAAAAAUAUUAUAAUAAAAUGC
Molecule: long non-coding RNA, 676 nt
Filed under: Drosophila guanche
Lineage: Eukaryota; Metazoa; Arthropoda; Insecta; Diptera; Drosophilidae
Source: RNAcentral